UAAUACCAGAAUCAAAGAGCAUAAAAAUGCAAUUCGCAAUUUUAAAGCAAACACAUAUACAGACACUUCUGUAUCCAGACAUUUUUCUGAGGCAAGGCACAACGUCUGCCAACUAAAGUGGAAAGUAUUGGAAGUUGUUCCUAAAAUGUCCAAAGGGGGUGAUAGAAAUAAUCUGCUACUCCAAAGAGAGUCCCGUUGGAUUAAUCGAUUAGAUAGCACGUACCCCAAAGGAAUGAAUGAACAGCUCAACUUGGCUUGUUUCUUAUAACUUGUUUCUUAUAACUUGUUUAUUAUUGUUUACCUUAGUGCUAAUUCACAAUUUACUUUCUUCACAGAUUAUUCUGACAGCCAGUUAGUGGCCGGUUUAACGGAUCUCCUGCCGUAUAAGCAUUGUGGAUGUUCCUACACCAGUGGUUCAAUUUGGACUUCACUACCACACCUGGACACGAUGAACUCUAACUAUAUUGUUUCACCUGUUGCUUAUGUGAAUACUUAAUUGAUUAAUAGGGUCUGCACCCACAAUGCAACCCUUAAGGUGAAAGGUCAUUGUUUGUUUAAAUGUUCCCUUUUGCACUGUUCAUGCACACUUGAUAAAGGGCCUUGCCCGAAACAUGUAGUGUGCUGUUCACUACCCCAAUAAAGAUACACUUGCAGACUCA
Xenopus laevis (African clawed frog) is the source of this 659-nucleotide long non-coding RNA. RefSeq lists it as uncharacterized. The record is from RefSeq and is a predicted model, not a curated record. Lineage: Eukaryota; Metazoa; Chordata; Amphibia; Anura; Pipidae. The transcript is spliced from 2 exons.